GUCUUUCAACAAUAGCGAGAAUGUGGAUCACAACAAAACAACUACUGGAACUCAGGUGACCAACCAUGAGACUGGUUGCAGUACUUCAGAAGGUGCAGUGAGUAAUACACUGAAGAGAAAGAAGGUUUCUGAAACAACAAGAAUGAAAAAAGCUACUCAAGCAAUCUCUGCUACAACCGGAAACAACAUACUUAGGAAUUCGGGCAGGGAAACAUGAAAGAUGGUCAUAGAAGCCUAGAAAUGCUGGUACACUGCUCAAGGUUGAAGUUGAAGGUGACACAUCGCUGAUUUGGCUUGCCCUUGUGUGUGCCCGUCUAAGAUUGGCUUGCUCUUAUGCUGGUACACUGCUGAUUGGAUUGCUCUUGCAUCAAGCUGGAACACUUGUUCGUAUUGUUGUCACAACAUUAGGAAGUGACCUGUGUGUUUCUGAUUGAUACUUUGAUAUUGUUUCUGAAUUUGUGAAGAUGUUCUGAUGGUGAUGCUUUGCAUUAUUCGCAUGCACGAUGAUACUUCUAGCCGAUGCAAGCUUCUCAAUCUUUUUUUC
This is a long non-coding RNA of Triticum aestivum (bread wheat), 544 nucleotides long. RefSeq lists it as uncharacterized. The transcript has 2 exons. The record is from RefSeq and is a predicted model, not a curated record. NCBI's taxonomy places the organism in Eukaryota, Viridiplantae, Streptophyta, Magnoliopsida, Poales, Poaceae.